UACGUAGGGGGCAAGCGUUGUCCGGAUUUAUUGGGCGUAAAGAGCGUGUAGGCGGCCGUACAGGUCAGCUGUGAAAACUCGAGGCUCAACCUCGAGACGUCGGUUGAAACCGUACGGCUAGAGUCCGGAAGAGGAGAGUGGAAUUCCCGGUGUAGCGGUGAAAUGCGCAGAUAUCGGGAAGAACACCCGUGGCGAAGGCAGCUCGCUGGAACGGUACUGACGCUGAGGCGCGAAGGCGUGGGGAGCGAACAGG
RNAcentral lists this ribosomal RNA (253 nucleotides) under uncultured bacterium. Its description in RNAcentral is "partial 16S ribosomal RNA". It matches the Rfam family "Bacterial small subunit ribosomal RNA", at positions 524 to 776 of the family's 1533-position model. The record is from RNAcentral.